Molecule: ribosomal RNA, 254 nt
Filed under: uncultured bacterium
Lineage: Bacteria
Description: partial 16S ribosomal RNA
Rfam family: Bacterial small subunit ribosomal RNA
Source: RNAcentral
UACGUAGGGACCAAGCGUUGUUCGGAUUUACUGGGCGUAAAGGGCGCGUAGGCGGUCAGCACAAGUCAGUUGUGAAAUCUCCGGGCUUAACUCGGAAAGGUCAACUGAUACUGUGCGACUAGAGUGCAGAAGGGGCAACUGGAAUUCUCGGUGUAGCGGUGAAAUGCGUAGAUAUUGAGAGGAACACCUGCGGCGAAGGCGGGUUGCUGGGCUGACACUGACGCUGAUGCGCGAAAGCCAGGGGAGCGAACGGG